Molecule: long non-coding RNA, 242 nt
Filed under: Rattus norvegicus (Norway rat)
Lineage: Eukaryota; Metazoa; Chordata; Mammalia; Rodentia; Muridae
Description: long non-coding RNA NONRATT003467
Source: RNAcentral
UUUAAAGAGUUUUCCUUUGCAGAGGCCUCAUUUCAUCCUUCAUGGAGCUGCUCAGGACUUUGAUUGCAUAUAAGCGCUUGCCUCUUGUCUUCUGCUCUGCUAGUGAGUGUGUGAGACCUUGCAGUGAGUUUGUUUUUCCUGGAAUUGGAGGGAAGGGAGGAGGGGGAUGGGGCUUACUUGUUCUAGCUUUUUUUUACAGACCACACAGAAUGCAGGUGUCUUGACUUCAGGUCUUGUCUGUU